RNAcentral lists this ribosomal RNA (429 nucleotides) under uncultured archaeon. RNAcentral's name for it is "bacterial SSU rRNA". It matches the Rfam family "Archaeal small subunit ribosomal RNA", at positions 474 to 903 of the family's 1478-position model. The record is from RNAcentral.
UACCUGCAGCUCGAGUGGUAACCGCUAUUAUUGGGCCUAAAGCGUCCGUAGCCGGCUUGGUAAAUAUCUGGGUAAAUCGUGAGGCUUAACUUCACGAAUUUCGGAUAGACUGCCAGACUUGGGAUCGGGGGAGGUCAGAGGUACUCCAGGGGUAGCGGUGAAAUGUUGUAAUCCUUGGAGGACCACCGGUAGCGAAGGCGUCUGACUAGAACGAGUCCGACGGUGAGGGACGAAGCCCUGGGGCGCAAACCGGAUUAGAUACCCGGGUAGUCCAGGGUGUAAACUAUGUGGGCUUUGUAUUGGAGGUCCCACGUGGGCGUCCAGUGCAGAAGAGAAGUUGUUAAGCCCACCGCCUGGGAAGUACGGUCGCAAGGCUGAAACUUAAAGGAAUUGGCGGGGGAGCACAGCAACGGGAGGAGCGUGCGGUUU